UGCCGUGGGCGCUGGAGAAUUGAGGGGGGCUGCUCCUAGUACGAGAGGACCGGAGUGGACGCAUCACUGGUGUUCGGGUUGUCAUGCCAAUGGCACUGCCCGGUAGCUAAAUGCGGAAGAGAUAAGUGCUGAAAGCAUCUAAGCACGAAACUUGCCCCGAGAUGAGUUCUCCCUGAGACUUUAAGUCUCCUGAAGGAACGUUGAAGACGACGACGUUGAUAGGCCGGGUGUGUAAGCGCAGCGAUGCGUUGAGCUAACCGGUACUAAUGAACCGUGAGGCUUAACCUUACAACGCCGAAG
RNAcentral lists this ribosomal RNA (300 nucleotides) under Klebsiella pneumoniae. RNAcentral describes it as "partial 23S ribosomal RNA". It matches the Rfam family "Bacterial large subunit ribosomal RNA", at positions 2643 to 2925 of the family's 2925-position model. The record is from RNAcentral. Lineage: Bacteria; Pseudomonadati; Pseudomonadota; Gammaproteobacteria; Enterobacterales; Enterobacteriaceae.